ACAAAAGUGAGGAGGCAGUUUAUAAGAUUGUCUCUUCAUGGGAAAGAACUUUGAGGUAUAUCAAAAUCAAAGGCCGAGAUAUCGUUUUAGUCGUCAUUUCCUCCAUUGGCGGUCUGAUUGUUGCUCGUCCACAC
Molecule: small nucleolar RNA, 134 nt
Filed under: Corchorus olitorius
Lineage: Eukaryota; Viridiplantae; Streptophyta; Magnoliopsida; Malvales; Malvaceae
Description: Small nucleolar RNA snoR111
Rfam family: Small nucleolar RNA snoR111
Source: Rfam by way of RNAcentral